UUCAAAUAAAACGGACAAAGACAAAGUUAUUGCAAACCAAAGACCUUUACCGGAAGGUUGCUUGUCUCCCUUGUGAACAAGGGCAUGUCCUUUUUCCUCUCCUCCAUGGAAUGGAGCACAGGAAAUGAACACAAAUAACGCAAUGGUAUACGCACGUGCUGUUUGGGUGGAGAAUGGGAAGCAGACGGAAGGAGUUUUGCCAUUGAACUGGAUUGACACAGAGACCAAAGUGGUGCGAUGCCCUCUAAAAAACGUGUCUGUGGCACAUAAGCGCCUUUUACAACCACAAGAGGACUGGUUAAGCUUUGAAUUUGUUAAAGUCAAAGUGACAUCAGUAAGCCGACAGGAGUGUGAAAAAUAUAAUUACCACUCAGCUCAAACCGAAGAGGAGGACACAGUCAGUCAAAAGAGAAUGAAGAAAAGAAGGAAAAUUUGAAGAUUAUGUUCAAGGGUCAGAUUUGUCUCCUGAGGAGGAUGAGUCCUUGCCAGACAAGAAAAAGGG
Triplophysa dalaica is the source of this 502-nucleotide long non-coding RNA. RefSeq lists it as uncharacterized. Lineage: Eukaryota; Metazoa; Chordata; Actinopteri; Cypriniformes; Nemacheilidae. The record is from RefSeq and is a predicted model, not a curated record. The transcript has 4 exons.